UACGGAGGGUGCAAGCGUUGUCCGGAUUUAUUGGGUUUAAAGGGUGCGUAGGCGGCUAAUUAAGUCAGUGGUGAAAGGCAGCAGCUCAACUGUUAGCACGGCCAUUGAUACUGAUUAGCUUCAGUACAGUCGAGGUAGGCGGAAUUGAAGGUGUAGCGGUGAAAUGCAUAGAUAUCUUCAAGAACACCUAUUGCGAAGGCAGCUUACUAGGCUGUAACUGACGCUGAGGCACGAAAGCGUGGGGAUCGAACAGG
RNAcentral lists this ribosomal RNA (254 nucleotides) under uncultured bacterium. RNAcentral describes it as "partial 16S ribosomal RNA". It matches the Rfam family "Bacterial small subunit ribosomal RNA", at positions 524 to 776 of the family's 1533-position model. The record is from RNAcentral.